This is a long non-coding RNA of Ictalurus punctatus (channel catfish), 1228 nucleotides long. The record is from Ensembl. NCBI's taxonomy places the organism in Eukaryota, Metazoa, Chordata, Actinopteri, Siluriformes, Ictaluridae.
CAACAAAAAAAUCCAGAAAAACGCACGUCAAAAUGUUAUAAAUUGAUUUGCAUUUUAAUUGUCAUUAAGGUUUUGAGGCUGACAUUUGGCAACUUGAACCUUCAGCUCCCUCCACAGAUUUUCUAUGGGAUUAAGGUCUGGAGACUGGCUAGGCCACUCCAGGACCUUAAUGUGCUUCUUCUUGAGCCACUCCUUUGUUGCCUUGGCCGUGUGUUUUGGGUCAUUGUCAUGCUGGAAUACCCAUCCACGACCCAUUUUCAAUGCCCUGGCUGAGGGAAGGAGGUUUUCACCCAAGAUUUGACGGUACAUGGCCCCGUCCAUCGUCCCUUUGAUGCGGUGAAGUUGUCCUGUCCCCUUAGCAGAAAAACACCCCCAAAGCAUAAUGUUUCCACCUCCAUGUUUGAUAUUGGGGAUGGUGUUCUUGGGGUCAUAGGCAGCAUUCCUCCUCCUCCAAACACGGCGAGUUGAGUUGAUGCCAAAGAGCUCCAUUUUGGUCUCAUCUGACUACAACACUUUCACCCAGUUGUCCUCUGAACCAUUCAGAUGUUCAUUGGCAAAAUUCAGACGGGCAUGUAUAUGUGCUUUCUUGAGCAGCGGACCUUGCGGGCGCUGCAGGAUUUCAGUCCUUCACGGCGUAGUGUGUUACCAAUUGUUUUCUUGGUGACUAUGGUCCCAGCUGCCUUGAGAUCAUUGACUAGAUCCUCCCGUGUAGUUCUGGGCUGAUUCCUCACUGUUCUCAUGAUCAUUGCAACUCCACGAGGUGAGAUCUUGCAUGGAUCCCCAGGCCGAGGGAGAUUGUCAGUUCUUUUGUGCUUCUUCCAUUUGCGAAUAAUCGCACCAACUGUUGUCCCCUUCUCACCAAGCUGCUUGGCAAUGGUCUUGUAGCCCAUUCCAGACUUCUGUAGCUCCCUUUAAGAGUGUGCUCCUAAUCUCAGCUCGUCACCUGUAUAAAAUACACCUGGGAGCCAGAAAUCUUUCUGAUUGAGAGGGAGUCAAAUACUUAUUUCCCUCAUUAAAAUGCAAAUCAAUUUAUAACAUUUUUAACAUACGUUUUUCUGGAUUUUCUUGUUGUUAUUCUGUCUCUCACUGUUCAAAUAAAUCUACCAUUAAAAUUAUAGACUGAUCAUUUCUUUGUCCGUGGGCAAACGUACAAAACAGCAGGGGAUCAAAUACUUUUUUCCCUCACUGUACUUUAUUUUAUGUCAUCAUUAGCAAGCUCGCUAAAAAC